CAAUAGCGUAUAUUAAAGUUGUUGCAGUUAGAACGCUCGUAGUCGGAUUUCGGGGCGGGCCGACCGGUCUGCCGAUGGGUAUGCACUGGUCGGCGCGUCCUUCCUUCCGGAGACCGUCCCUACUCUUAACUGAGCGGGGGCGGGAGACGGGACUUUUACUUUGAAAAAAUCAGAGUGUUUCAAGCAGGCAGCUCGCUCUUGCAUGGAUUAGCAUGGGAUAAUGAAAUAGGACUUUGGUGCUAUUUUGUUGGUUUCGAACACCGAAGUAAUGAUGAGAAGGGACAGUCAGGGGCACUCGUAUUCCGCCGAGAGAGGUGAAAUUCUCAGACCAGCGGAAGACGAACCACUGCGAAAGCAUCUGCCAGGGAUGUUUUCACUGA
Molecule: ribosomal RNA, 380 nt
Filed under: uncultured eukaryote
Lineage: Eukaryota
Description: partial 18S ribosomal RNA
Rfam family: Eukaryotic small subunit ribosomal RNA
Source: RNAcentral